Molecule: long non-coding RNA, 9879 nt
Organism: Numida meleagris (helmeted guineafowl)
Lineage: Eukaryota; Metazoa; Chordata; Aves; Galliformes; Numididae
Exons: 2
Source: RefSeq, a predicted model, not a curated record
CCAACUGCAUUAGACUUUUAUAUCUCUUUACAAACAUAUCACAUAUCUGAAGAGGAAAAUGCUUUUUGGCACAAGAGAUACACAAUCUCAAGAUCUUACUGAUUUCAUCAAUGGAAGGAUGUUUCCCGCUGGAGGCUAAUAAAUCACCCCAGCCGGCAAAUGCCAGCCACUUACAGUAAGAACUGGAUGAGGGUAACAUAAACCGUGGAGAUCUAGUAUCACUUCUGCUGCUACAAUGAAGUGCAAAGCCCAAGAGGAUGAACAGGUAUGAAUAUUAUCGAGUUACUACUCCUGAUUCUACCCUCAGUGUUAGAAAUGUAUUUGCACUGAAGACACUGAGAAAUUUUGUAAAAUUAUUCAUUCCAUCUUUAUUCCUACUAUGUAGAUAAAUCCUUGUAUUUUGAGGUUUCUUUUUUAGUUUGCACUAGCCUUCUUAUAUAUAUUGAUACAAAGAGUAACUCAGUUGACAACAUCAGAAUAAAAGUGUGCAAAUGAAAAUUGGAAGCUACGUACUCUAGUGAUACUGUCAUAUGCUAAUAUUCACAGAACUCUCCUUAGAAGUACAGCAGAUUGGACUGGAUAUCACACCAGUGGUUUAAUACCAAAAUUUCUGGGUUUUUAACUGCUGUGCCCUCGUUGGCUUACUUCCUUAGCCAUAUGGAAAAUAGCCAGGCACAAUUAACUAUUUGUCAGAAAACAAUCUAUUAAUUAACACCAUUCUGUGAGGAUGAGCUGAAAAUCAUAUUCUUUGCUUGCCAAAAAGCUUUCAUUUCUGCCUCAUGUUUGUGUUCAGAUCUAAACAUAGCUACAGAUACGCUGCUUAACAUAACUGACCAGUGGAAAAAAGAACAACUGCUGCCGAGAUUUUUCAGAUACAGCAGCCAACGGGAUUUUCUAAAGAUAGGUAGGGGGGUCAAAAGGACUUCACCUUUUCAUCUCGUAAAAAUUCUUCACUGACAGAUCUUUGAUUAAACUGGGCAGAAAUAGACCGAGUCCCAAUUAAGACACUCAUAUUUGUGGCUGGGCUUGAAAGAGAAAAGAGAAAAGAGAGAGCGGAGAAUAGGUUGCAGCAUUUUAUAGGCUUAACCUUAAAAAUAUAGGACCUGACUUCAAUUAUAUUUAUACCCAUUCGAUUCUAUUGACGUCAAAGGAUUUACUCCUAAAUUAUGCCAGAUGGAAAUCAGGCUAGCUAUUACACAUUUUCAUGCAUAUAAGCAGCACCUCUUUAAAAGCAUCGUUUAUUCAGAAGUACAUCCUCAGACAACAUGCCUCCUCAGACAACCCAGAUAAAUUCAGAAGGGAAAAUCAGCUAUGGGGAAUUUUAGGGGAGAACUGCAGAUCGAUGUAAGGGAAAGAGGAGAUAAAGGCUGAACUCCCUUUGCUGUUACCUGCACAUACACACAACCUUCACUGCUGCGAACCCUGGGCUCUGAACUGAUAACCACUGGGGCUGGCACAGGACAACGUGGUGGCUAUUUGCUUUCCCUGUACAGAAGUAACACGUGUUCUAUGUUACCUCCGAGACUGGUAUUCUUGUAUUUCACUUUUCCAGCAGAGUAGCCUGCAAUGCUUCUGCUUCCAAAACUUUUAACACUGAAGCCCUUUGCAGGUCCACAGUGCUACAGGUGCGUAACAGCUAUCAGUUAGUGGCUGGUUCCUCAUAACUGUUUUUCAGAACUGUUCACUCGCUUGGAUGCUAUCCUAUAACCCCAACCCAUUCCUUCUGCUUGUGCUUUCAACUAUCCAAGCGGCUGUUUAAAAUUAUUUGAAGCAAGUUGAGACUGGAGUUUUUCUCAGCGGUAUCCAGGCUAAAGGGAACUGAUGAUGUACCUGACCUUUGAUGAGUGCUAACAGCCCCUUGUGUUCAAUCUGAAGUGAAAGAACACAGAGAAGCUAAAAUUCCUCUCUUUGAAAUCUCCUUGCAGCUGCAAAGAAUCAAUCUUCUAAGGUUAUAAAGGGUUCAGAGAAGGCUGGCCUUAUCCCUUGCAAUAGUGGAUUGUUCCAGCACCACUCAGACCACUGAACACUUGGUACGCUUACCUGUGCCCUACAGUCUCUGCAUCACUUCCGUGGCUGCUCCUUCCAUAGUGGCCACCCUGCAGGAUCCUGUUAGCUCGGCUUGACCUUGCCAUUGAUCACACUCUCUCCUGAUGCUGUCCCACUCUUCCCUAUCCCAAUCUGUAUUCGUCCUUCUACUCUCAUCCACUUGGUUUAAUUCCCACAGGCAUGAAGACCAAAGCAGAAACACAGUGGCUGAUGCAUGGUUCCAAAUUUCCUACCUGCUCAGAUGGUUUGAGCUUGGAGCAGGCUCUGUUCCUAGCAGUACUCUUCAUGUUGCAAUCUUGCACAAUGGCCCUCAUGGUUUGGAUAGUUCCACGGCCUUCUCAUACUAAUGUAGUUACUAACCACAGCAAUCUCUACCAAGACAUCUUUUUUACUUCAACCUCUUGCAACAACAAAAGAAGCAAACAGUGUGGCAGCUUAUCCUCAAUAAUCAGCUCUCCACAAAAGGCGGAAGUUGGGGGCCUGAAGACAAAAUGUGACAUAAAAGGUUCCCAAACUAGCAUGUGCAGCUGUACAAUCCCUCUCUGUGCUGCUCCUCUUUGUAGUACCUCUGCUACCAAAAGCUUCUGCCAGCUCUACCAAUUCCCUUGGCCUUGUUACCAUCUGGCUGCAGUUUUGGGCCUGCAAAUUUAAACCUCCAUUUUGAAAUUUUAGAUGGGAGUGUGUUAGUGGAUUCUUUAACACUAUGAUUAGGAGAUCCAAGGGACACAGAAAUAGUAGAGAAUCUUUUAAAUGGAAUGAACACAUGUGCAUUCAAACCUGAAGUUCUACUGCAUUUCCUUUCAGAAGGGCCCUGCAGAAUGCCUUGCACAUGGGAUGACAGGAGAUGAGGCCAAAGAGAACACCACUAAAUGCUUCUUCUUAUACUGAUUUGCUCUUUUCAUUCCAAAAACAAAGAGUAAUCUUCUAUUUCCACAGUAGCCCUCUCCUCAAAGUGAACUUUUAGAGCUGUUUCCAUAAACAUCACUGACAUUUCUAGCAUAAAGCACACAAAAGCAGUUGUAUCCAUUAUUGCACAUCGGAAGCCCACUCUGGCCAAAGUCUGCAACUAUUUUUAGUACAAGAUCAGUAAAUGCAAGCAUGCACAGCAGCCUCUGCUCAGCAGAAAUGUAAAAAUAAAAAAAAAAGCCCCAAGAAAAACACCAUGUGCUCACACUGAGUUUCAGGAAUCCUCACUGCGGCUCAUAAUCGUUAGUGACUAGUGAUUAAAUACCAGGUGUUUCCUUCCAGUCGGGCUACCGCUACUGUAUGAGAACCUAAACUUGAGGGAAUCCAAAUAACAUCUGAGCAAACCUCUGUUAAGUCCAUUUGUCUUCAACACCAACAACACUGCACUAGGAACAGCAGCUCUGAGCACACACAUGCGUGCUUUUCUUCUGGUAGACAGACAAAGAAAUGGCCUUUUUGCCUUCUUGCACAUUGAGUUUAUUAAUCAUAGAACUACAGAAUGGCUUAAGAGUUGCCACUCAUCAGAUCAGACUGCCCAGGGCCCCAUCCAAUCAGGCCUUGAAUGUCUCCAGGGAUCCAGAGCUUCUCUGGGCAGCCUGUUCCAGGCAUACUGCACAAGCAGACAAAGCCUUCCAAAGGAGGGGAGGAAAUACACCUUAAAAAACUUAGAAUAUAUAUAUUCCAAAGUAUCUAUCCACAUCUUUGAGAUGAUCCUCAAUAGUCUUGAAUUGGAGCUGGUACGAAGCUGGAACUUGCUGAAGCUGCUGGAGUUAACCAUCCAAUUCCACCUGCUGGAGAGAUGGCUCACUCAACAGUGUGCCAUAUAAGUGCUGCCAUUUUUCACCUUCUGAUUCUUCUCAUCCCCUAUACUGAAAUAAGCCUAAGCUGUGCAUUAAUAAAAGUGAUAGCACAAGUGGAUCAGAAGAGGAAAAUACAUAACAUCUCUAUUACAGCACAAGAAAAAAGUGAUUUUGUGUGACAUUUCAGCAAGAAAAACUCUAAAAUGGACUGUGGAUUUUUUCCAUAGAUCCUAUUCUGUGCUUAUUUCUCAGGUUCAUGUACGACACCUCUGAUAAAACUGCAUUACUUUCAUGCAAGGUGGUAGCACCAAAAAAAAUCCAGUGUCAUUCCAACAGGUUCUGCCAUGAGGUCAGGGAUGUUACAACAGCACCCAAUUUCUCUACAUCUGACAGGGUACAUUUGCAAUGAUUCACGUGAGGGUGAGACCACUUUUCUUCCUUCGUGCCCACUUUUCGCCAGGACGUGGUACUGCUGCAUCCAAAGUCUAAUACGAACAUCAAAGACUGCAUCUCUACGUACUUCAGGUUCUUCCAUUCAUUUCACUUGAUUUUCUUUUUCAAGCACUAAUGUUUCUUCGGCCUUAUUGAUUAAUUUUCAUUGUACAAGGAAGGGUCCAUAACCUGUGUGUGACCUCCAGAAAUCACAUUUAUUCCAUCUUUGUUUCCUUGUCCCCUGCAGCUGGCUGUUUAAGACUUAUAUCAAAACUGAAAAUGUUGCUUUCCUAUGCAUCCAUUGUGCAACUCUUCCUUCCUUUCCUAACCCUUAAAGUAAGGAAAUGAGCCAGGAGAAGGAUAUCGCGCAUGCUGAGAUUUUUGUCCAUCUCUCCAUGUUGCUGAUGAGCAAUGUGCUGUCCCUCCCUAGAUUUACAGUUAUCAAGAUCUGUUCCUUUGAGGGAAGUGUUACUUUUGUCAGUGAUCAGAAACAGCUGCUUUCAAAAUCAGCAAUGCUGGCUGUUUCUGAGAAUUCAACACUUGGUCUUAGGAACUUUUACUUGUAAGGAUAUAAAAACUCUGCUGAAGUAUUGCUAAAUAGCACGUCAUGCAGUUGCUAAUCCAAAACUUAUAGCAUCGCUUCCAAAUUCCUUGAAACGCCAUGAGAAUCAUUACAUGGUAAUCUCCAAUAAGAUUGAAUCUAGUGUUAUUCAAUGGCUGUUCCCCAAAGUAGAUUCCCUUUUGUUAGUAAAAUCAUUACCUUGCUGCUUAAGCAUUCAGGCUUUCCUCUCUAUUUCACAGUUCAUAAAGCACCUUUAUGAUGUUGAGAUUUUUUUUUUCUGAACAGGCAAAAGAUGGUUUGUUUUUCCUGCUUUGAUUAAAUCCUACAUCCCACAAGCAGUGAACCUGUGAUACCGCUCUGCUGUUUUUAAUUGUCUGCCUCUAUUAAGAUGCCUGCACUGUAUGUCUUUUCCGAAGCCCCAGCGCGAUUUUGUUACGUGCUUGGCAUUAGCGCUGCCAGGUCUGAGGUUAAUACGUACACCACACAACUCAUUAGCUGUGCAUUACUAUCAGAGCCAAAAAUCAACAUGAUUGAUCCAACAAUAUGUUUGGGCUUGGGACUGAGACUCAAAUGAGGUCUUAGCAAAAGCAAAGGUCAGCAACUUGGCACAAAUUUUGCUGUGCACAGAGAAAGCUUUUCUUUCAAACUAUUCAUCAGGGAAGGUACAAAUGACAACUAAUACAGGCCUCAUUAAAAAUGAGAAGAGGAAACCCUGCGGAGAGGGCAAGGAGGCUCCCGCGCUAUCAAUUUACUAUUUUUUUUCAGUCCUUUGCUAAAGCUUUUAUUUAUGUUACAGUAUAGACAAUGCAAAGUUUAAAGGAAGCAGUGGGGUUUGGGGUUUAGGAGACUAGUUAGACUAAUUAUCUUUAUGUGCACUAUCAAUUACUGUCCGGUUAAACAGAGAGAGUAAUUCUGCAGAUGGAAAUCAAUCUUCGAAUCGAAGGAUCUGGGGGAAGGGAAUGAAAGGAUCUUUUUUAAUCAGCCCUGUUAUUUCUUUUAGUAAAAACUCCAGUGUCAAAACAUUUCCUGCCCUAAAAUGACAGAAAUAAAACAGACACUAGUAUGAGAGUGGGAGAGAAGAGGAAUGAUAGAAGAAACCUUUUCAACCAUGGAUUUGUUUCAAGUACAGUUCUUACAAGGAUUUUACUCAUAACUCAAGCACUCUUGUCACAGCCAGACUCUGAAAUCAAUACUUCAAAAUACGCUAUUUUACAUAUGGUAUCAUCAUGUUCUUUUCUUUCUCAGUAACCGAGUGCGUUGAAAAUGCUAUUGAUACAACAAUUAGGCUGUAAGAGAAAUACCUCUUUGCAGUCUCCAGAGUUGCUGUGUUGCAAUAUAAUUGUCUAAUGGCACAUUUUUGUAAGGGCUGUCAUGGUAUUAUGGGUAUAAUUUUAUUUUUACAGGAUACGGUAAAAGGUAAAAGGCUGGCGUUAAUAGCCUCGGGAACCUAUUACACAAACAGAGGUUGAAGAUUAAAAUUGGAGUGGAUUUGUAGAGUCUGCAUUGAGUAAAUGUCUUGCCACACUGAAAAUUAUCGUGCAAGUAACUUAUCCCUCAUCACUAUUUUUUUUUUAACUCUCCUAUUCUUCUAAAGGUCAAUCCCUCUUUCCAACAGAGAACACAGCUUCUUCUCAAGGUAUUUUUAGAAAACUGUUUAUUUUUCUCUGUUAGCAGUUGUUUGGCAAAACAGGAUACAAGGCAUAUUGCUUCUGCUUUUACCAACAGCUACUCUGCUGUGCUGCAAAGUCCCUCAAACAUUAAGUAGCUAAUCUGCCCUAAAAGUACUUGUGGGUAAAGACAACACACCACUGACUGGAAACUCAAAGGGAGAGCAGGAUGGGGCAACACUACAUAUAAAUACAACUGAAAAAGCAGAAGUUUUCCUCCAAAUUGGGGCAUUUUUAUGGGAACAGCUCCAUAGUUGCCCGUUUUCUUCGUGAGGAUUAACUGAGGGUUUUGGUAGGGCUGGAGGGAAGAAGGAACAGCUUUUUUUAAUGGCCUAUUCUGUUGCUUUCUAAUCCAUUUACUGAGCUUAUUAAUCAAAAAGGCUGAAACAGGAGCACUGGGUUAGAUAAAAAAACAAAAACUGAUGACUGGGGUGAGAGGAAUUCAUACUGGGGAGAGCCUGAAGGUCUAAGUGCCCCCAGUUUCAGGCUGGAUAUUAGGAAAAAAUUCUACUCAGAAAGAGUGGUGAGGCAUUGGCACAGGCUGCCCAGAGAGUUGGUGGAGUCACCAUCCCUGGAGGUGUUCAAGAACAGUGGAUAUGUGGAACUGAGGGACAUGGAUUAGUGGUACGGUGUUGAUGGGUUGAUGGUUGGACUGGACUAUCUUAGAGGUCUUUUCCAGUCUUAUUAAUUCUGUGAUUCUAAUGGACCUUUCCAUUUCCCUGAAGGUGAUUUUUUAAUUUCAGGAGACAGAAGCAGAAAAAGAGAAUCAAGGUAAUACUGAAGAAAAAGAACACAGCUGGACAGGCAUCCAUUUGACAGCAGACGCUGGGAGCUUUCCUUAGCCCUGCAGCUCCACUCCUGGCCUGAGAAGGGCACCCACUGAAGGCCAGUAUUUACUGUCAGAGGCUGAGAGAAAAAAGGAGGACUUUCACCUGCUUCUGGAGGAAAGGGAUCAAAGCCUUCCUUCACACCAUACCAACAUCACUCUUGCUUUUUUUCCCCGCUGAACUUGAAUGCGCAUACAUUCAGACACGGGCCUUCGGAGCUGUGCAGCCUCAAGGUGAGCUGCCCCAGUGCCUGCACGAAGGGAGGUGGAUCCUUGCAGAUAGAUUCAACUGCAGCUGCCAAGGCAAGGCUCUCCCCACAGGAGAGUGGGGUUACAUACAAAAAAAAGUUAAGUUCCAGUGCCUUGAUGGCCUGCUAAGCCAUGGAAAGCAGGCUGUCCUCAGGACCAUGCCAGAAUGUGCUCCCACAGUCACAGCCCUGCCAGAAGAAACAGCUCCUACGGUCCAGCAGGCUGCAAACCUGCCCUGUUGCCUUAUGGCAUCCUCUCCUCCUCCCUUUUCAAGCCCUGGGUUCCUUCUGCUCCAGAAGCAGGGGCAACACCUGGGAUCCCAGCAGUACCCCUUGUCCUCUCCAGGCCUCACUAGAGCAGGCAUUACAGCUCAGAGCUCACCACUCUCCUGCUGUAGGAAGGGAAAAGUUAAAACCAGAGCAGAAUGCCGUUAGAAAGAAGCUUUCUCUUCGUUUCUGGUGUUUACCUGGAUAGUGAAAUCAGAACAAGCACCGCUGAAACAGUUAGAUCAAAACGCAGAAGGGAGAACAAGCACAGUGUAAUUACUUCUGCUGGAAUUUGGCCAGGGCCAACUCAACCCUUGUGGGAAGGGCAAGGGGACAUGUGGGGCCCCAUCUGUACUUCAGGUCAAAUUCUGCAAGAAUGAUUUUACAUCUGAAGGCUAACACAGGCACAAUAGCAUUCACCCACUGUAGAACUGUGCUCCGUAAUUAUCUGAUCACAGGUUUUCUUUUCUUCUGCCCUAAAAAACCAAGCUGUACUGCAGACUAACUUUCAAGCUCAGACCUUUCACUCUCAUACCUUCCAUUCACUAUCCUAAUCCUGUAAUUUUGCAUGAUUUAUCAGCCCAGUCUUUACACUUACUCUGCUUUCCAAUCCCUUUGUACCGAGCACUUCCUCCUGAGUUAGAUUUAUCAUUUGCUCAACUUGGCUGUCAUCAGCAUGUGAAGGAAUAGCAUGUGUUACAUUAAUGAAAUGACUGCUUUUAGCUAGAAUUUUUCUUAAUAUAUCCAUUUAUUGAAUGCAACUAAAACAAGAAAUCGAUGUUACUGCUGAUGAACUGACGUGUGGACCUUGCGGAAUCUGGAAGAGGAAAUUACUCUUCAUGCUACUUCAGGUUUACGUCUUUCCUUAGGUCAGGCUGAUCGCUAUCCCAGAUAAUGAAGACUGUUAAUGUAAUUAAGUGCUCUGUUGUGGUGUUUUACAAAGCAAGCAAAUAAGUUCUGGCAUUAAUAAGCUACGAGGUUAAGUGACAGAGGACAAAAACAGAACUCUCCAUUUCUAUUGAAGGGCUCCACAGCAAGUAAUUAGUCAGGAUUUAAAAAUACAAUUUCUAAUUUAGGACACAGAAGAUUUUCCAAUUUGAGGUAUGUGCAAUCUACAGAAGGUCAGAUUAAUGUUAAGAUUAUGACCAUCUGUAUGUUAUCAGUAUGAUAAAUGAGGUCCUCUAGCCAUUCAGAACAGGCCAGGUCCAAACUGCCUUGCUUAUUUUAUAGAUGCGUAGAGGGAGAGACAAAGAGAGACAGAGAGAAGGAAAGAGAGAGAUGGAGAGAGAGAGAGAUGGAAUGCAUGGAUAACUACUAAAGAAUACUGAGACUGAAUGAAGAAAAAAAAAGCUGUGAAGACUGGAAAUUGAUAAGGAGACCACACUACAUGAACACAAUUUCCCUGCAAGAAAAAGAGAACACUGAAAUUACAGUUUUCUCAGCAAACUCCAAUGUUUCUAGCAGGUUAUUUAUCUGGUUAAACAAUACACUGAUUUGCAAAAGGGGUUAAGACAGUUCAGCCCAAAGUUCACUGCAGUUCCAGACUAAACACGCACAGGUAUUUUCUCAAGACAGAAUGAAGAGCUGGGGAUCAGCACAACCCAGGUUUAUCUCCUGAACAAGCUACCGGUUCAGUUUGUGCAAUGUGAUGUGCCAACCAGCACAGCCAAAGAGCUACGUCCUGCCCAAAGAGGCAGCCCCAUCACCCAGCCCCUACACCUGUGCCAUGUGCUCUCACAACUCUGGCACUGGAAUCUGCAUUUUCCCCAAAAAGUAAUGAGUUUCUGCCAGCAUAACCAUCUGAUCUGGCUCAUUACAGGGCCAGAUGGGCGCUGUCACCACAGCGAUGGGAGGGCUGGGAGUGCUGAGGGGGACGGCAGCAGCCAGCCCAGAGCUGCACAUGUGGCCACGUAUCUGCAUCAAAGGCACUGCAGCCAGGGACACAGCCAUGCCAGGGAUUUCUAAAUGUUGUCCAGCACCUGCUGUGCUUUUAUACUGUGUCACAGGAAGGUGGUUAAAAGCAGAUGCUCAUGCUGUUAAAUAAAGUCAAAAUGCUUUAACUACA